Molecule: ribosomal RNA, 519 nt
Filed under: uncultured Acaulospora
Lineage: Eukaryota; Fungi; Glomeromycota; Glomeromycetes; Diversisporales; Acaulosporaceae
Description: SSU rRNA
Rfam family: Eukaryotic small subunit ribosomal RNA
Source: RNAcentral
AGCAGCCGCGGUAAUUCCAGCUCCAAUAGCGUAUAUUAAAGUUGUUGCAGUUAAAAAGCUCGUAGUUGAAUUUCGGGAUUUGUCCAUUGGUCGGGCCUCACGGUCCGUACUGGUGUGAUGGGUUCCUACCUUCUGAAUAACCAGCAUGCCAUUUAGUUGGUGCGCCGGGGAAGCAGAGCUAUUACCUUGAAAAAAUUAGAGUGCUUAAAGCAGGCUAUUUGCUUGAAUAGAUUAGCAUGGAAUAAUAAAAUAGGACGGCAUGGUUCUAUUUUGUUGGUUUCUAGGAUCACCGUAAUGAUUAAUAGGGAUAGUUGGGGGCAUUAGUAUUCAAUUGUCAGAGGUGAAAUUCUUGGAUUUAUUGAAGACUAACUUCUGCGAAAGCAUUUGCCAAGGAUGUUUUCAUUAAUCAAGAACGAAAGUUAGGGGAUCGAAGACGAUCAGAUACCGUCGUAGUCUUAACCAUAAACUAUGCCGACUAGGGAUCGGACGAUGUUAAUUUUAUAAUGACUCGUUCGGUCG